RNAcentral lists this ribosomal RNA (137 nucleotides) under uncultured bacterium. RNAcentral's name for it is "partial 16S ribosomal RNA". It matches the Rfam family "Bacterial small subunit ribosomal RNA", at positions 355 to 508 of the family's 1533-position model. The record is from RNAcentral.
UGGGGAAUAUUGGACAAUGGGCGCAAGCCUGAUCCAGCCAUGCCGCGUGAGUGAUGAAGGCCUUAGGGUUGUAAAGCUCUUUCAGUGGGGACGAUAAUGACGGUACCCACAGAAGAAGCGGCCGGCUAACUUCGUGC